CCGCAAUCUGGAGUACAUCCGGGCGGCGAGGAGACUGAACCCUCGCCAGGCAAGGUGGGCUAUGUUCUUUACCCGAUUUGUUUUCACCCUGUCCUACAGACCAGGUUCCCAGAACGCUAAGGCAGACGCACUGUCCCGGAUGUAUGACACAGUGGAGCGGUCCAUGGAUCACACUCCCAUACUCCCGGCCUCUUGCCUGGUGGCACCGGUAGUGUGGGAGCUGGACGUGUACAUCGAGCGGGCGUUACGUACAGAGCCCACUCCUCUCCAGUGUCCAGCUGGGUGUCUGUACGUUCCGUUUGCUGUCCACGACCGUUUGAUCUAUUGGGCACACACGUCACCCUCCUCUGGUCAUCCUGGCAUCGGUCGGACGGUGCGCUGUCUUCGUGGGAAGUACUGGUGGUCCACCUUGGCCAUGGACGUGAGGGUUUAUGUUUCCUCCUGCUCGGUGUGCGCCCAGUGUAAGGCCCCUAGGCACCUGCCCAGAGGGAAGUUACAGCCCUUACCCGUUCCACAACGGCCGUGGUCGCACCUAUCGGUGGAUUUCCUCACGGAUCUUCCUCCCUCACAGGGUAACACCACGAUCCUGGUCGUUGUGGAUCGGUUCUCUAAGUCCUGCCCUCUCCUUCCUUUGCCCGGUCUCCCUACGGCCCUACAAACUGCGGAGGCUCUGUUUACACACGUCUUCUGGAACUACGUGGUGCCUGAGGAUAUAGUGUCGGAUCGGGGUCCCCAGUUCACCUCAAGGGUCUGGAGGGCGUUCAUGGAACGUCUGGGGGUCUCGGUCAGCCUUACCUCUGGCUUUCACCCCGAGAGCAAUGGGCAGGUGGAGAGAGUAAACCAGGAUGUGGGUAUCUCCGGUUCUGGCACCUUGGCAUCAGAGCCAGAUCGAGGCUCCUGCGGUGGACGAAUGGUCUAAGCGCUCGGAGGAGACCUGGGACGCUGCUCAUGUGCACCUGCAACGGGCCGUGAGGCGUCAGAAGGCGAGCACCGAUCGCCACCAGCAGUGAGGCCCCGGUGUUCGCACUGGGGGACCGGGUCUGGCACUCGACCCGAAACCUGCCCCUCCGCCUGCCCUGCCGGAAGCUGGGCCCGCAGUUUGUGGGGCCAUUUAAAGUCCUGUGGAGACUGAACAAGGUUUGCUACAGGUUACAGCUUCCCCCAGAUUACCGUAUUAACCCCUCGUUCCAUGUGUCUCUCCUCAGGCCGGUGGUGGCUGGUCCACUCCAGGAGUCUGAGGUGCGCGAGGUUCCUCCGCCCCCUCUGGACAUCGAGGGGGCCCCAGCGUAUGCAGUUCGGUCCAUACUGGACUCGAGGCAUCGGGCGAGGGGCCUUCAGUACCUCGUAGAGUGGGAGGGGUACGGUCCGGAGGAGAGAUGCUGGGUGCCGGUGGAGGACGUUUUGGACCCUUCGUUGCUGCUGGACUUCCACCGUCUCCAUCUGGAUCGCCCUGCGCCUCAUCCUCCCGGUUGUCCUCCGAGGUCGGAGCGCUGCUGGAGCCGCGCGUCAAGGGGGGGGGGUACUGUCACGACUUCCCUCUUCUUGUUCGGGUGGCGGUCAACGUCACCGGCCUUCUAGCCUUCUAGCCAUCGCCGAUCCACUUUUCAUUUUCCAUUUGUUUUGUCUAUGUUUUACACACCAGGUUUCAAUUCCCCAAUUACAUGUUCAUUAUUUAACCCUCUGUUUUCCCCAUGGUUUUUGUGAGUGAUUGUUUUAUUGUAAGUUCGGUCCGUUGUUUGUGGGCUUGGUAUUACUUCACGUAUUUGGACAUUUUGAGUAAAGUUCAUUGUGUUACUCAUCUCUGCUGUCCCGCGCCUGACUCCUCUGCACCAGAUACACCCAGAACUUUACAGGUAGCCAUGCUGGUUAAGUGUGCCUUGAAUUCUAAAUAAAUCACAGACAGUGUCACCAACAAAGCACCCCUACACCAUCACACCUCCUCCUCCUCCAUGCUUCACGGAACCACACAUCAUGAUCAUCCAUUCACCUACUCUGUGUCUCACAAAGACAUGGCGGUUGCAACCAAAAAUCUCAGAUUUGGACUCAUCAGACCAAAGGAUAGAUUUCCACCAGUCUAAUGUCCAUUGUUCGUGUUUCUUGGCCCAAGCAAGUCUCUUCUUCUUAUUGGUGUCCUUUAGUAGUGGUUUCUUUGCAGAAAUUAGACUAUGAAGGCCUGAUUCACGCAGUCUCCUCUGAACAGUUGAUGUUGAGAUGUGUCUGUUACUUGAACUCUGUGAAGCAUUUAUUUGGGCUGCAAUUUCUGAGGUUGGUAACUCUAAUGAACUCAUCUUCUGCAGCAGAGGUCUUCCUUUCCUGUGGCGGUCCUCAUGAGAGCCGUAUUGACGGACCUUCAUGUCUUAAAGUAAUGAGGGACUGUCGUUUCUCUUUGCUUAUUUGAGCUGUUCUCGCCAUAAUAUGGACUUGGUCUUUUACCAAAUAAGGCUAUCUUCUGUAUACCAUCCCUAACUUGUCACAACACAACUGAUUGGCUCAAAUGCAUUAAGAAGGAAAGAAAUUCCACUAAUUAACUUUUAACAAGGCACACCUGUUAAUUGAAAUGCAUUCCAGGUGACUACCUCAUGAAGCUGGUUGAGAGAAUGCCAAAAGUGUGCAAAGCCGUCAUCAAGGAAAAGUGUGGCUACUUAUACUACUUACACAUUUGGAUUUGUUUAACACUUUUUUGGUUUCUUCAUGACUCCAUGUUUUAUUUCAUAGUUUUGAUGUCUUCAUUAUUAUUCUACAAUGUAGAAAAUAUUAAAAAAUAAAGAAAAACCC
RNAcentral lists this long non-coding RNA (2775 nucleotides) under Salmo salar (Atlantic salmon). RNAcentral describes it as "lncRNA (ENSSSAG00000098967.1)". Lineage: Eukaryota; Metazoa; Chordata; Actinopteri; Salmoniformes; Salmonidae. The record is from RNAcentral.